RNAcentral lists this transfer RNA (73 nucleotides) under Brachionichthys hirsutus. Its description in RNAcentral is "tRNA-Asn". It matches the Rfam family "tRNA". Rfam says of the family: Transfer RNA (tRNA) molecules are approximately 80 nucleotides in length. Their secondary structure includes four short double-helical elements and three loops (D, anti-codon, and T loops). Lineage: Eukaryota; Metazoa; Chordata; Actinopteri; Lophiiformes; Brachionichthyidae. The record is from RNAcentral.
UAGAUGGAGGCCUGCUGGUUAAGGCGCUUGGCUGUUAACUAAGUAUUUGUAGGAUCAAGGCCUGCCCGUCUAG